Transfer RNA from Penicillium brasilianum, 131 nucleotides. It matches the Rfam family "tRNA". Rfam says of the family: Transfer RNA (tRNA) molecules are approximately 80 nucleotides in length. Their secondary structure includes four short double-helical elements and three loops (D, anti-codon, and T loops). Further hydrogen bonds mediate the characteristic L-shaped molecular structure. tRNAs have two regions of fundamental functional importance: the anti-codon, which is responsible for specific mRNA codon recognition, and the 3' end, to which the tRNAs corresponding amino acid is attached (by aminoacyl-tRNA synthetases). tRNAs cope with the degeneracy of the genetic code in two manners: having more than one tRNA (with a specific anti-codon) for a particular amino acid; and 'wobble' base-pairing, i.e. permitting non-standard base-pairing at the 3rd anti-codon position. The record is from Rfam. Lineage: Eukaryota; Fungi; Ascomycota; Eurotiomycetes; Eurotiales; Aspergillaceae.
GUCAGUUUGGCCGAGUGGUCUAAGGCGCUUGACUUGAACCUCCCGACUUCCAAGUCAGGGCUAGGGGUGACCCUAUCAUGUUUAGGCAUCAAGUCCCUUCGGGGGCACAGGUUCGAACCCUGUAGCUGACG